This 45-nucleotide non-coding RNA is filed under the name Schistosoma curassoni. Lineage: Eukaryota; Metazoa; Platyhelminthes; Trematoda; Strigeidida; Schistosomatidae. The record is from RNAcentral.
AUCCAGCUGACAAAUCCCAAAUAGAACGAAAUGCACAUCCUGAAU